UAGGCGACGCGGAACUGACGGAUAUAAGUGGAACUAACCACGUGGACCGCGCUGCUGUAAGAUUAGCCGGCCGUCUGGGCAGAGAGA
RNAcentral lists this non-coding RNA (87 nucleotides) under Phascolarctobacterium sp. CAG:266. Its description in RNAcentral is "ZMP/ZTP riboswitch aptamer (pfl RNA motif)". It matches the Rfam family "ZMP/ZTP riboswitch aptamer (pfl RNA motif)". Rfam says of the family: Previously known as pfl RNA. Lineage: Bacteria; Bacillati; Bacillota; Negativicutes; Acidaminococcales; Acidaminococcaceae. RNAcentral also lists the same sequence under 1 other name. The record is from Rfam by way of RNAcentral.